RNAcentral lists this ribosomal RNA (492 nucleotides) under uncultured bacterium. Its description in RNAcentral is "partial 16S ribosomal RNA". It matches the Rfam family "Bacterial small subunit ribosomal RNA", at positions 29 to 507 of the family's 1533-position model. The record is from RNAcentral.
AGUGAACGCUGGCGGUAGGCCUAACACAUGCAAGUCGAACGGCAGCACAGUAAGAGCUUGCUCUUACGGGUGGCGAGUGGCGGACGGGUGAGGAAUACAUCGGAAUCUACUUUUUCGUGGGGGAUAACGUAGGGAAACUUACGCUAAUACCGCAUACGACCUACGGGUGAAAGCAGGGGAUCUUCGGACCUUGCGCGAUUGAAUGAGCCGAUGUCGGAUUAGCUAGUUGGCGGGGUAAAGGCCCACCAAGGCGACGAUCCGUAGCUGGUCUGAGAGGAUGAUCGGCCACACUGGAACUGAGACACGGUCCAGACUCCUACGGGAGGCAGCAGUCGGGAAUAUUGGACAAUGGGCGCAAGCCUGAUCCAGCCAUACCGCGUGGGUGAAGAAGGCCUUCGGGUUGUAAAGCCCUUUUGUUGGGAAAGAAAAGCAGCAGGUUAAUACCCCGCUGUUCUGACGGUACCCAAAGAAUAAGCACCGGCUAACUUCGUG